Molecule: transfer RNA, 72 nt
Filed under: Thermoplasmata archaeon
Lineage: Archaea; Methanobacteriati; Thermoplasmatota; Thermoplasmata
Also listed under: 2 other names
Description: tRNA-Ala
Rfam family: tRNA
About the family: Transfer RNA (tRNA) molecules are approximately 80 nucleotides in length. Their secondary structure includes four short double-helical elements and three loops (D, anti-codon, and T loops).
Source: RNAcentral
GGGCCGGUAGAUCAGUGGAAGAUCGCCUGCUUUGCAAGCAGGAGGCCAUGGGUUCAAAUCCCAUCCGGUCCA